RNAcentral lists this ribosomal RNA (460 nucleotides) under uncultured bacterium. RNAcentral's name for it is "partial 16S ribosomal RNA". It matches the Rfam family "Bacterial small subunit ribosomal RNA", at positions 338 to 795 of the family's 1533-position model. The record is from RNAcentral.
CCUACGGGAGGCUGCAGUGAGGAAUAUUGGUCAAUGGACGAAAGUCUGAACCAGCCAAGUAGCGUGAAGGAUGACUGCCCUAUGGGUUGUAAACUUCUUUUAUCAAGGGAUAAAACGAGGCACGUGUGCCUUUUUGCAUGUACUUUAUGAAUAAGGAUCGGCUAACUCCGUUCCAGCAGCCGCGGUAAUAAGGAGGAUCCGAGCGUUAUCCGGAUUUAUUGGGUUUAAAGGGAGCGUAGGUGGGUGGUUAAGUCAGUUGUGAAAGUUUGGGGCUCAACCGUAGAAGUGCAUUUGAUACUGGCAGGCUUGAGUACAGUUGAGGUAGGCAGAAUUCGUGGUGUAGCGGUGAAAUGCGUAGAUAUCACGAAGAACCCCGAUUGCGAAGGCAGCUUACUGAACUGUGACUGACGUUGAUGCUCGAAAGUGUGGGUAUCAAACAGGAUUAGAUACCCCGGUAGUC